RNAcentral lists this transfer RNA (75 nucleotides) under Pelotomaculum sp. PtaU1.Bin065. Its description in RNAcentral is "tRNA-Thr". It matches the Rfam family "tRNA". From Rfam's summary of the family: Transfer RNA (tRNA) molecules are approximately 80 nucleotides in length. Their secondary structure includes four short double-helical elements and three loops (D, anti-codon, and T loops). The record is from RNAcentral. Lineage: Bacteria; Bacillati; Bacillota; Clostridia; Eubacteriales; Desulfotomaculaceae. RNAcentral also lists the same sequence under 4 other names.
GCUGAUGUGGCUCAGGGGUAGAGCAGCGCACUCGUAAUGCGCAGGUCGUCGGUUCAAAUCCGACCAUCAGCUCCA